Long non-coding RNA from Heterocephalus glaber (naked mole-rat), 2773 nucleotides. The record is from Ensembl. Lineage: Eukaryota; Metazoa; Chordata; Mammalia; Rodentia; Bathyergidae.
CUUACAUCGCAGCACACUUGUAACUUGUCAUGUCCCCCCGCUGGGGACCUUGGGUUAAGGUGUUCACAAUUCUUGGUAAGAGCCAACAGUCACACUGCCUAGCAGUGACACAUUAACCCACUGUUUGUGAAUCGGUCCCAGACAAGUUAUUCAAUCUCCUGGCAGAAGUCCAGAUCUCUGAGUCCAGAACACGAAGACUGAAAAGAAAAUCAGAUGUUGGGUCCAGGCCAAACUUGGCCUCCAACUCAUUGUGUAACCUUGGGCAAGUCAUUCUGCUGCACUGGGCUUCAUUUUCCUAUCAAAAGCAGAAAGAACUCAAACCCGAGUCAAGAUCCACGAGCUCCCUUCCAACUCUGACAUUCUAAGAAUCAGAGAUUCUGUGACUUCUCCCUGCAGAAUGCUUGGCUGCAUCACGUUCCUGUUGACCUGAUUCCAGUAAGCAUGGUGAACGGUAGGCUUUCCCUGACUGUAGAUGAUAGCAACUGUCUCUGAAAAUAACUCAUCUGGCUCAGACAGAGGGCAGAGCCACACCUGUCCCCAGUCCACACUAAUGGAACUCCUCUGAGUUUUCUGUUUGCUCAGCUUCCCCCCCCUUACCACACUAGCCUCAGGUAGAACAGCACUCCUAGUUCCCUACCUCUCCUUCUUGUGGCUCCCUGGAGUUGCAUAAUUGUCUGGGAUAAUGUAGAAGGCAGAGAAGACUUAGCAAAAGGAGCCCACCAGCCUCCCUGUAGGAGGAGACCAGGACACUGGGGACAGGGAGCAGGAUGGAAGAGUAUCUGGUUUGCUGUUAUGAGGAAAAAGGACCCAAGGGAGAAGGAAGAAAAGGAUGUUAGAAACAUGUGGUAGUAACAGAACCAGGACCUCAAAUCCAGGUUUGCUGACUCUUGGCCAUGGAAGACUGCUUCCCUGAGACAGCUGGCAGGACGAGGGACAGGGAAGCUUGCCCAACUGAGUGGCUUCCACUUUCUCUCCCUGGACUCCCCCUCCCCCAUCAAAUGUUUCUUCGCUGAGCGAAAACAGCAGAAGUAAUACGGCUACAAAUCAAGAGAAGCCCUGCUUCUGAAUCUGCCUGUGUCCACCUGACCUUUCUGUGUGACUGUGGGCAAGUCGUCUUCCCACCCAGAGAGCAGUUUUGAUAUCUGCACAACCGGGAGGUUGGCCCGCUCAAGGGCAGCAUGCUUCUGGCAUUCCUACUGGAGUUUCCCCUUGCCAUGUCCGCAGCAGACACUACCGGUCACAGGCUCUGGUUAUUCCGCGCCUGUGUGCAGCUUCAGAAACCUUUUCAACACUACUGAUGGACCAGAAAUGGCCAAUGAGAUGAGACUGAUUCAUGAGUGUACUAAGCGAUCUAAACUUAAAAGUACCACCCACGUUUCCACCUCUGAUUUCCCAUGGCUCCAAGGAUCUGAUCUGAGAACCCAAGGAAGACCCUGGACUGAUGGUGAAGACUCGUAAAGAAGGCUAUCUCUCACCUCUGACCUCUCAGCGGGGCUAUACAUUCUCUUGCAUGCACUCUAGAGCAAAGAUGGGGUCAGAAUAGGACACCCAGAUGCUGAAAUCUCACACUCCCAUGGGUCUAUCAGGUCUACAGCAGAGAAAGGAAGAGAUAUGGGUAGAAAUCAAAGUCUCUGGUCAGCGUUGGGAACUGAUGUCCUACCGCAACUGGUGCCACCAGGACCUUCCUCUCCCCAACCACCCCAUGUCAUAAGGGCGAUCAGGCAGUGAUGGCAACAAAGUGAACAACUCCAGCUACCCCAAGAUAAUUUAUGCCAACACAGCCACAUGCCAACGUGUGGACUCACUAUGUAGCCCGGGCUGGUCUCCAGCUCGUGGCAGUCCUCUUGCUUCAGCCUCCCCAGUACUGGGAUUACAGGUGUGCACCUGGCCAAAUGUUGUAGUGAGUUUAACACACCUAGCACAACUAUUAGUACGCAACUAUAGUAGGUACUUAAUAACCGCAGCUACUCCACUAAAGCAUCUCAAGCUUUGUUCAUGGGGACAGGAGGGACCCCCCCCCCCCCCACUGCACCCAAAUGUAUCCAUCUCAAGGCCUGCAGGCGCAGCAUGCAUGAAGUUCUCACUCAGAUACCCAAUGCCGUCAAACAUAUUCACACACACCUUGCAUCAACCCUCGGGAGGAUUCUGAGAUGCCAAGGCUGGUUACCAAGGAAAGGUGUUUAGGAGCCUCCCCUGGGGAGUAGCCGCAACUUUCCAGGGCUGUUGAGAACGGAGGCCUGCCCCACAGCAAGAGCCUCACUCACAGGACCCUACAGAGGUCAAAGAAUUUGUGGACUUUCAUGCCAUUUGCUCCCGUUCACAUGUUCACAAGCAAACACGCAUGUGCACAUGUCCCUAAAUUCCCUCUUCCUGGAAACUGUCGGGGCUUUCACUCUACCUCACUCUCUCCCCUCGCCUCCCUUGGGAGGAAAGGCUGCCACAGUCCUUGAAAUCAGCAUUCCCUGAGAUUUGUUUUCUUAGCAGGGAGCUGCAGGGGAGGAGAGAACAGGUUGGCUUAGGCUCAAACGACUGAACAGAAGGGGCUUUGAGAAGAAAAGUGACUUCUUCCCAAGUUCAUCGGAGGUCCUGCCGUGGGGACUGGAAUCCAAAGUGCCCGCCCUAUCUCUGAUCAGCCUGCUUCUCACACCACAGCCACAUGCUGGGCCUGGGUUUCCCUCCCAAGAGUCAUGAGAAAAUUCCGUGCCUCACCGAGCUAUUUUCUCCUUCUUUGGUUUAUAGGAUUCUACAUUUUGAAAAGUUCUGAUAAAUGGUG